GACGUAGGGCGCGAGCGUUGUCCGGAUUUAUUGGGCGUAAAGAGCUCGUAGGCGGCUUGUCGCGUCGACUGUGAAAUCCCGCGGCUCAACUUCGGGUCUGCAGUCGAUACGGGCAGGCUAGAGUUCGGUAGAGGAGACUGGAAUUCCUGGUGUAGCGGUGAAAUGCGCAGAUAUCAGGAGGAACACCGGUGGCGAAGGCGGGUCGCUGGGCCGAUACUGACGCUGAGGAGCGAAAGCGUGGGGAGCGAACGGG
RNAcentral lists this ribosomal RNA (253 nucleotides) under uncultured bacterium. Its description in RNAcentral is "partial 16S ribosomal RNA". It matches the Rfam family "Bacterial small subunit ribosomal RNA", at positions 524 to 776 of the family's 1533-position model. The record is from RNAcentral.